RNAcentral lists this unclassified non-coding RNA (202 nucleotides) under Hevea brasiliensis (rubber tree). The record is from RNAcentral. Lineage: Eukaryota; Viridiplantae; Streptophyta; Magnoliopsida; Malpighiales; Euphorbiaceae.
UUAUUAUUAUUUUUUUUUCAAAUUUUGUUACUGUCCUUCCUUUCUUUAAAUGUUGUGGCAUCUGAUGCAAAUCUUUCAGCAGAUUUUUUUUAUUUUUUAACGAAGUUCAGCAGAUAUUCUUACUGGAUAUGGAAGCUACACUUUUGCCUUUUAUUAAAAAAUGACACCAUUGUACAAAUGGUUCUUGCGUCUAAGGAUAUUA